This is a long non-coding RNA of Gallus gallus (chicken), 10579 nucleotides long. RefSeq lists it as uncharacterized. The transcript is spliced from 6 exons. The record is from RefSeq and is a predicted model, not a curated record. NCBI's taxonomy places the organism in Eukaryota, Metazoa, Chordata, Aves, Galliformes, Phasianidae.
GCUGCUGACGGGUUGGUGUGUCACGUUGUGGGUUCAGUUCGCUCAGGCGUUCGCUGUGAAUGUUCCCUGCCGUGCGCGGCGGCCGGGCUACGGUAGCCGUCACGGCUUUUCUGUCGUGAGGGGCAUUGCCCGCAUCCAUCAGGUAGCCCUGCUGCUGAGGAGCCGGCGGGGACCCCGAGUCAGUGUGGUAAAGAUACAUGAAGAGGGAAGUCCCGCUUCUGCUGCUGCUGUUGAGAAAAGUAACGCUCUGGGAGGCAGAGUCGGAGCCGGUAGCAUUCCUGCACCGCUCCGUGGGCUCUGCUGGUCGCUUCUCCCUGCCGGCCCUCGGCGUGCCUGGCCAGGUGAGGUCAGGUGUGUGGAAAACAGAGGUCAGCCCCUGCCCGUUACGUUGCCCUUGCUUCUUAAACCACGCCAGGACUUGUGUGGAAGCAUAAACAAGUUCUUGUUGUGGCUUCCUGGAGAAAGCUAAAGGAUCAACUUGGAAAUGCCGGUGUGAUAGGUGGGAGAACUGGAAGCUGUUAUGAGAUACGCACUUAGCCUCGAAAGCUAGCCGUGCUCCCCAAGCACGCAGAAAUUUGUGUGGGUGGUUUAUGCUGCGUGAGGAGCUCCCAAGGCGCAGAGCUGCACUGCUGGCACUACGCUGAGACCCGCCAGCUCCAUCAGCAUUGCGAGGCGGUUUCGCUGUGUAGACGGAUUUCUGAACUUAAAGGGAAGAUAUUUAGAUCACUCAGUUUAACGCUACUGGCUACCUGUCUAGAACAAGCCACACAGCAUCAGUUCACUGGGAUUAGAACUACUCUGAAUAACAUGCUUUGGUCCAGCAUGAAGGAAGACAAUCUUAAUGAGUUAAGAGGCUCUUAAAGCAGACCACAGGAAUUUCAAGAGUGAAGCUGAAUGAAACCAUGGAAAUUAAUCAGGUGGAAGUCAAUCAUCGCAGCCUUAAGACAGAAUUUGUCAGAGCACACAGCCAUUGGAGACUGGAGGAAGGCAGUGAUGUGGCCUGCCUCAGACUCUGUCUACCUCGAGGCUCUUCAGGAUCAAAAGACAAGGUGUAAAACCUUUGUAUACAAUUACACUCCAGGAUGCAUUUCAAGGGCGAGGGCAAAAGCUGGUGCAAAUUUGUGAAACAGAUGACCUGCAUAUCCCUUCUCUCAUGACUCUUCCAACUGUCACACCCACAUUAAAAACAAUAGUCAAUACAAAUCAAUAAAAUAAUACAAUGACUAGCAGCACGUUCCUUGUUUUCAAGUGCCACUCUGCUAGAACAACGUGUAAUAUAAAUGACGAAAACCAAUACUAAUAUCAGACUGACCUACACAGAAUGGAGUAGUUAUCUCUUGUUCCACGAAUGUAUUGGCUUAUGCAACUCCCAUACUUGAAAAAUAAAAUCUGCAGCAUAAGACCACCCAAAGGAUUUAGUUUAUAAGUAGUGACUGUACACCUAGUUCUACAAACUAUUUAUUUUGGUAGUAAUAAACAAAGCACUGCAGAAAUGAAUUCAUUAUAGUACAUAUAAGUAUAUAUGUUAUUUGAUACCUUGCAUAAAACAAAAUUAGGUUCUGAUUCGAAGCCAAUUAUCGUCAGUAGAAAGGGCUCGCAUAAUAAAUGGUUGAGCUGCUGAUCUGUGUACAAAUACUUGAAAAACAGAUACGGAAAGUUUUGCCAGUAGCGAUCAUGCCUAGCAGUGUGAAGGAGAAUAUGGCUCUGUGCUCUGUGAGAGACCAAGUUAACUAACAUCUGGCACUACUGCUUUCAGGACCUGUGAGGAAUUUGCAUAUUAUGAAGCAAAACAAAACAAAAAGAGAGAAGUAAAUUGAGGUUAGAAAGCAGUCAAAAUAGGCUCAAGGAACGUUUUUUGCCUUGACAGAGUAAGUUUACUGCUAAGUAACCAAAGCACUCACAGCACAGUCUGUUCCUGUAUUGCUGCUGUACAAAGAUUCAGCUAACACAAAGCACAACAUCAAACGUUAAGGUGUUUUUUUCUUUCCAAGCUCUAACACAUCACAGCAAUGUGGAACGUCAAACCCCUUUGUCAAAAGAAAUCAAUUCUUUCAGACAGCUCAGGUUUACGGGAUAUCAGUUCAGCAAAUAAAAUCGGGACCACCAUGCAGUCGGGUAACUCGUAACUUGUCUCAUCAAAUCCACGCUGUUUUAUGAAAGAGGUAUUCCUUAUUAAAUAUUUAUAGCUCGCUAUUUAGACAGUAAGUAAAAGGCAAAAGGCAAACCAAAACAAUUCCACUGAAAGCAACAGAGAAGAUAGUUUCGAAACUAAAACAAUGUUUCCAUCACAGUAAAACAUCGGGGAAUUAAUGCCAAGCAAGAGCUCCAAGUCAACGGCUUUUCUGCAAAAGCUUCUCUGAACGCAGGGGCAUCGCUGUCACCAAGACGUGCCUGAAUUGUAUUCUGCGAACUGCUGCCUGUUUCAGACUCACACAAACACAAAGCUGUGCUUCAGCAGGAAAAACCCAAAAGGACUAACCAAGCCUCUCCGUGGGGAAAACAAACCUGACACAGCGGUUACUAUUAAUUAACAUUCUUAUUUGUUCAAUACUACUUCCAGUUUCCAAAGGAAGUGUGACAGGCUGAACUAACAAAAUGCUACUUCUCAAAGCUGCUAACCUCCUAUUUCCUGGGCAGACAAGCUACCCUUCGGCUCCAUACCAUGCGCUAGUGUUCAGCAGAGCAGCAGAGCUACCUACAUCCAUCGGUUACAGCUACGCACAGCCUUUGUAAAAAAAACUCAACACUUUAAAGACCUUUUUAGAGGCGUUUUUGUUACUUUCCUGCCAAAUGAGCCUAAGGAAGAAGCAGCAGAAGAAAGGAGACUGCGUGACAGAUGGUCACUAGAAAGCAGGCGACCCCUGAAGCUUUCUAGCUUGCUGUGAGUCAAUUAUUAAUGGGGAUUUCUCUUCUUACCGCCCCAUCCCAUGCGGAGAGGAGCGGCAGCAAAGCCUCCCUCAGAGCGCAUCCAUCCCCGCUAAGUGACUUGGGAAAGAAGCAAAUCGGCAGCGGUGAGCAGAUGGUGGUGCAAAGAGGCUCAGGAACAGGAGAGGAGACGAGAGGAGAAGCGAGCCCGCGGAGAUGGCGUGUCCGAGGCACAGACCGCAGGACUUACUGACCCGAGCUCUCCACUGGGAUGUACCGUGGGAGCUGCAGAUCGCCAGUGCUCUGCAUCCCCACCGCUUUGUUUAUCGGAAAAUAUUCAAAAUGGAAACCUGACUCCGCUUCUAAAAAUAGCUGAAUUUACUGAGUUUCAACUUGAAGUCCCACUGCUGAAGUGUGACAACGGUACGCAAAUACCUCGUCUUAUCUCCAAAAGGCAGCAUGUCAAGCCACUGGGGGAAAGCCUAGACGAGCUCUUCGGGUCUUUACAUUAGCUCUUCUCAAAAAAUAAAGUAAAACCCGAUAAAAAUAAAAAUAAAGAGGGCAGGGCAGGGCAGGGAAGAGCAACCACCGCGAGCGCUCAGCCGCGGGGAACUCGCCGCUCUGCCCGCCCCGGGCCGCAGCCCCGCUCCGCGCUGCCCCCUGCCGGACCGUGAGGCGCCUCUCCCUCCCCGCUCCGCCGGCCGCCCCGGCCCGGCCGGGCUCGGCGCUGCGGGGCUGCGGAACCCGCCGCAGGAGCCCCGGGGUGCCCGCCCGCGGCUCUCGGCUCCCGCACGGCUUAGCCCUGCGGUCUCCGUCGGGACGUCAGAAAACCGAGACGCUCGCGGGUCGAGCAGCACUUUGUUUUGAGAGGACCGAGUCACGGCACACCCUCCCCCCUCCCGGUCGGAGAAGACGUUAUGUGAGGCUCCCGCGUAGUUCUGUCCAAUUCGCAGGGCAAGGAGAAGUGCAUUGCUCGCCGCCCUCGAGAAGUUAAGCGAAUCCGUUUGGGAACGGCCCAAGCAACACGCGACUAAAGCGGGGCAGCGGGCAGAGCCCGGCGCUGGGACAGCUCCUUGUGCCGGAGGGGUACCGCGCCGCUCCGCACGGCCCCGCACGGCCGCAGACGGCCGGGAGAGCGGGAGGAGCCGGAGCCGGGCAGCGCCCGCCUGGGAACGGCGGUGGCAGCGAGACGGAGCCGCUCCUGCCUGGCUUCAGCUUGGGCUCCUUCGAGGGUGGGGGUGGGGGAACAGCUCGUUCAUUUUCUUCGGAGGCAGCGAAGGGAAACCGAACGGCGACCUUUUGCCGGCAGGGAAAGAUCUGACCCUUUCCGCCGCCUCCCAGCCUUACCUUGUGGCUUUCCUGACAAAGUAGGAGCGGGUGAAGUCGCAGUGAUCGUCCAGCCACGCUUCCACCGCUUCCUGCUCAGGCGAGGGGUGGCAGCUGCGCUCCAUGCUCCGCUCCGCGGCCGCUCUGCCUCCUCUCCCGGCCGCCGCCGCCGCCGUCGCUUCCCCCGUGAGCGGGGCCGGGGGCGCGGGGCUCCCUCCCUUCCUCCCUUCCUUCCCCCGCCGCCGGGGCUCCCGGCCUGCCGGGGCCGGCUCCCAGGUGCUCGCCCGGCUCGGGCGGCAGGAAGCCCGCGUCCGGCCCCGGCCCCGGCCCCGCCGCCGCACCUCAGCGCAUCCCCGGCCGCGGCAGGCAGCCGGCUCCACCUCCCGCAGCGCCUCGGGGGGCUGCCGCGCCCCCGCCCCGCCCGGCUCGGCUCGGAACGGCCGCGGAGCAGCGGCAGCAGCCCCCGGGCUCGGGCUGACGAUGCCCGGCGCCGCGGAGGGCGAAGGCGGCGUUUAUGAGCGCCGGGAGUGCUGCGGGACGGCUGGCCCGGGCGGUCCGCGCGGGGCAGGGAAAAGCUCAAAGCGAUGAAAAAGUAAGUUGUUCUCGGUGAGUCUGGCAAAGGGGCAAAGGGACCCCCCCCCCCGCCCCUUCAGUUAUUCUCCUUUCAAGAUGUGGCCUGCUUACGCCUGCUUGAAAAAGUGGGAAAACAGAAGUCUUCUCGGAGUGUUUCACGGUUGGGUGUCAGCUUGAAUAUGAGUAGGAAAGCCCUGGCUUUUCGAUCCUUCAUCCAGAAAGCCUACAGUGAGGCUUUUAAACCCGUUUGAGACCUUGAAUGAACACAGCCCAGCUUUGAAGAUGCUCCAGAUUCACGGCUGCUUUUUUUUUUUUUUUUUCUCUACUAUUAGAAAGCAGCAGUGAAAGGCUGGGUUAAUGCCAAGCAUUUUAUGUCUUGUUGUUCCACUCUGUGCUAUCCGUGUGCACACAUAAUAAUUUACCAACUGCAUUCACAAAAUACUGUACACAAAAUAGAAUGCGCAUAUCUUGUUUCCUGUGUCAUCUGUGUACAUAGAGUGUCUUUGAAGGCAAGACAUCAAUAACAAAUAGCAGCGUGUUUCUGUGAAAAGGGAUCUUUGGGGUCUUUAAAAUGAUUGUCCGAUAUAAUAAACUGAGAAAGACUGCAAGUUUGUCUGCCCCUCUUAAAGCCUCUCAGUGUACACGGGGCGAUGCACCUCAGAUGGAGUACGCAGCCCCACACACCUCCGCAAUACUCUGCAGUGCUUCCAGAGCCUUGCCUCCAGCUCCUGGCAGAAGAAGUGAGAUUCUGCAGUGUGAGCAGAGACUGCAGCAGGAACUUCACAGCAAAGCGACUGUCUGUGAGCUUGGGGGGAAUUUUUUUCUUCUUUGUCUUUGUGUAACAUCUGUCUUCUGGCUGUAAGUAUUUGUGUAAUAUGAGGCACACCGAAAAGGGAAGGUUUACAUCAACAUCACUCCUUAUAAUUCAACUUAAACAACAAAUCUCAGAAGUGCACGUGGUGACCAAAGAGCAAAAUGUGAAGAUAAAGUAUAAACUGGUUGAGGCAUGCUGCAAAAGUCAAGCCACUAUUCAAGGCAAAGAGGAAUCUUUCAACAGGGAAAUUCAGAAUGCAGUAAACCACAGAAGCAGACAGCGUGGCAAUAAGGGAGCGUGGUGUUUAGUGUCAAAACCUGAAAAGCAUGAUCUGUUAGGAAAAAAAAUAAACUUAUCACGUAACUCAUGGAUUGCUACUGUAACUGUUUCAUUCAGAAAAGGGGUUUGAGGCUACACUAGUAGUGGCAAUAAUUUCUUCUCUAAGCUGGGCAAAGCUUUCAGAGAACAGCGUUAUGUUAGAAUGCUCAAGAAAUACAAGAGAAAUAUAAAAUAUACAGUUAUCAAAUACAGACUUCAUAAAUAUCAGACAGCAUUUCCCUGAAUGGUCUCCUAUAGGAUACUGAUCACAGUCCUCCACAUCCCAUCCCCAAAAGCUAUUGCAGAAUUAUCACAGUUGAUCUAGAGGGGAAAUCCAGAACUGACCAAACAGAUGGAAAUCUCUCUUCUGUAAGGAGAGAGAAAGAGAUUUUUUACAAAAGGACGAAUGCAAAUAUAUAAUUUCAUUUCUGGUAUUUAAAAUACAAUAGGAUUUGCUCUCUGUCUCAUUGGAGAAUAACAAGAUAAUGGUCAACAAAACUAUGUCAGCUGCAAUACAUACCAUCUCAUUUCACGUAAUUAUGAGAAGCAUUAACAGAAAUAGGCAUUUAUACUGUAGUAAGAUUCAGUAAACACCAGACAAGAAUAAAUGAGCAUUGUACUGAGAUCUGUAAACAGUAGUGUUAAAGUCUAGGCUUUGUAAUAAUAAUCAUAGAAUGGGUUGGGUUGGAAGGGACCUUAAAGGUCACCCAGUUCCAACAAUAGUAUUAAAGUCCAGGCUUGCUGAGAAGUGAGAGUACAGCAUCCCUGCUCAUGCCACAGGGUACUGGGACCCUGGGCGAAGCUUCUUGGACUGUGGACAGCUGCCUAGAAUGGGAGAAUGUGCAUUUGACUUUGUACCAAAGGAGGGGAAGUUGGGCAGGGCCGCAGUGCACUUUGCUCCAGGCUGACAGCCACUCAAUUAGCCAUCCUACAGAUAUGAAUCAGUGAAGCCGAUGCAGGAGAUCGUCCUCCUGUGAAUUCAGUGGUAAAAUAUCAGUUCAAAUACUGCUACCCAAGCAAAGAAUUGUGUAGUCUCUCCCAAAAUAAAUCAUAAAAAUGGAGAUGUUGGGGGAAAAAAUUGAUACUUUCUCCGUAUCCGAUGGAUUUCCAUGAAUAAUAAUGAACAUGCUGUUUUCAUUUUUAAGGUGACGGGAGGGGGUGAAGGCCAAGCAUAACAGAGGAGUGAAUGUUAAAGGUGGAAAAAAUCUUUCAUAGUUUUGGCUUCCAAAGUCCUGUGAAAAAGCUCCAUGCAUCUUAACUCACACCCAGCUUCCCAGUUUGCUUCCAGAAUUUGGAUGACAGAACUGUUGUAGCUGUAAAGUUGAAAAGGAUCUGUGGUAAUGACACACAAAAGGAACGAAGAGCAGACAUGCUCAGAGCAACUGAUAGGCGGCUAGGAAGACUUUGAGAAGACUUGUGGCUUAUGACAAGCUAAAAUCCUUUACAAACAAAUUUACAAUUAGUUUGAUACACAGUCAGCAAUGCUUGAUUGGAUUUCUGAGGAGCUGGGAAAUUCUGGAUGAAUCAGAGAACUUCAUCUCUUUUUAAAUGUGCCUAAUGUUCUGUCAGCCAUGCAGACAAUGGAAAACAUUUGUCAAAACAGAUGGCAGUGCUAGCCUCUCCACCACUGAACACAAAGGGUGAGUUCAAGGACCAGUUAAUGGCAGGAGAGCCAAGAAAUAUUUUGAGAUUUAGUUGAACAUUGAAUAUACCCCAAAGAAUACACUAUUGCAAUUCCAGGACUUGGCUAUGGCCACACUCACAAUACUGCAGGAACAGUCAUUUCAUAUUCUGAUCUUCCAGCCAAAAUGAAGAACUGCUGAGGUGCGUGAAAAAUAAGAUGUAGCGUUUAACAUGGUUUUUGAAAAGACAUGUUCAACAGCUGGUUCAGUCCAAUAGAACAUAUUUUACCUAGCGGUUCAUGGUAGUCUACAGCACCAUUCAGUUGCUUUUCAUACACUAAGGUAAAUAUUAUCAUAAUAGAAUUUAUGCAUACAGAGUAUGCUAAGACUAAAUGUGAACAUAUCUGGAUUUUCUAUUUAAAAAUGCUGGCAUGUUACACCAUAGUAAGUUUAGAAGAGCAGUUAGGUAACCUGUUAAGCAGCUUAAAUUACUUUUUUUUUUUUUUAAAUUUAAAGAACUGUAUAGAGAUGUUCAUCAUAGAAUAAUAGAAUCAUUUGAGUUGGAAGGGGAACCCUUACAGGCCAUCUAGCCCAAUUCCCCUGCAAUGAACAGGGUUACUUGCAACUUGAUCAGGUGCUCAGAGCCUCUCCAGACUGACUGACCUUGAAUUUCUCCAGGAACAGGGCAUGCACAACCUCUCUGGGCAACCUGUGCCAGUGCCUCAUGUGCUCCACACCCUGUGUAACUUUCUUAUGAGCACGGAACAAUGAUAGGUACUUAAUUUCUAUGACUUUGGUUUCAAAUUGGACCUAGAAUAUAUGUUUUUCUCUUUAUAAAUAUAUUAGAUUCUUCUUUCAAAAAAAUGUAUUCACUGAUAUUUGUCUAUAGAUUUUGACAAUCUUUAAGCUAUGCAUUUAUUAAAUUAGUACUGUUUUAAGAUGCAUUCAUUAGUCUUUUUUUCUAAAAAUGCAUUAGACUUCUUUCUGUCAGAUGGAAAUUUAAGUUCUGUUGCCAUCUAAAAUAACCUUAAACUGUGUGCAAGUCUGUUGAUGAAAGCUGCUAGGUGCGUCUAGGUUAAUGAAGUUUUUGUAAUUUAUGCCAUUCUAGGACCCUUUUUAGAAUGUUUGUUCUGACUGGACUUUGGAAUUAUCCCCACCUAGAUUAAAGAAGUUCCAGAGGAUGCUGGUGGAAAAAGAUUACUAAAGUUGUGCGUCUUCUAGCAUGAUUGUUCUUAUGCCCACAGCAUGCUGAGGAAGUGAAGAAGGGAGGAACAGGGAGAACCCAUUUAAAACCACUUCUGUGUCUGUAACAGAUUUGUUUCUUCCCAAUCAAAAUGUUACAUUAGAUACAAGAUGCUCUAAACUGCAGCCUCCCUGUAUUGGCAUCUGUCACCAGCAGACCACAAUUUCUCCACCUCGGAGAACAGAUUAGGGCUCAAAUGGUGAUAUCACUAGAGGAAUAGUGGGCAUACUUCCAUAUGUCUCGCUCAAAAACUUGGUGAUCUUUAUGCGAUGAAUUUGGCCAGUAAGUCAUUUCUUGGAAGGCGGAGAUGGAAGAUGUGAGGAAAAUAGCUGUUAAGUUUUGCCUUAAGCACUGAAGAUCAGUGCAAAUGCCCUAUUCAGAUAUUAAUGCCCUUCUGUUGGCAGUAGUGUUCAACUUAUAAGAAACUGUACAUGUUCCGGGUAACUGUGGCAGUUGCACAGUGACACAAUGAGGUUUGUAAAGAUGUGGGAGGUAAUUAUUAAAACUAAGGAUCUUGAGGAUUCUCUUGUCAGAUUGCAGCUUACUGUUGAGGCAGUCUCAGGAGGAUCACUUGCUUAGAGGAAGCACAUUUCUUUUUUUUGUUUUGUUUUGUUACAGUACUUGAGUUUUAUCAAACUUUUUUUUGGGCUUUCAUCUGUCACUGUCACAGUGUAGUUUGCUCCCCAGUCAUUCCUGGAUCUGGAGCAUUUGGGAGCAGUAUAAAGAAGUGAAAAUGGAUGCACAAGACUGGAAAACCAUGCCUUUAAAUAUAUUCAUUCAAAUUCAUAUUUAUUAAAAAAAAAGAAAAAAAAGAAAAAAGAAAAAAAAAGAAAAACUGUAAGUGUAUUGUUUUCAGAAAUCCGGUUAAUAAACAAGGCAUUUCUUACCUUUGUGAAUGUAUUUAGUACUGUCUAAACCAAAAAGAAAUGUUAUUGACCAUUAAUUCCCUAUAAACUUAGGUUCUUUCACUUUAAUUUCACAAUGACAACACAAUUUGUUUCAUGCUAUUCCAGGGCUAUUAAGCUUUGAGUUUAUGUCACUUUUGCUAAAACAACUGGAAUGUAACCACCUGCAUAUUUAUCCUACUAGUCAAAUUCCCUCCACUUAACAGACCUAGUUUUGACUUCAUAUAUUCUCUGAGAAAGAACAAAGACAGCUUGUGGUCUCUUAUUGCGCAGCAUGAACAGAUUAUAUCAUUUAAGGUAUGAUCAAAUGUCUCAGUAAAUUCAACUGCAUGCAGUAAGCACUACUGUUAUUAGGCCAUGUUAAAGUAAGAGUGGAAUUCCCAGUUCUUUCCUAAAGAGCAUCAGUAUGUUAUUCCUAGUAAGUAACUCUUUUUCAUGCAGAAUAUGGCUUUGUUUUUGUUUGGGAUUUCAAAAGGUACCACACUAUUUUUAGUUACUAAAUAAUAUGAUUUAGUAACUGUUCUCAAUAGAUUGUGUUGGCAUCUUGUGAGGACAGCAUUCUAUUUUCUCUUAAAAUAAAAUCAGUUCUAUGAAAGCUGCGUUAUUUUUGUGAAAGCAUUUGUAUAUAUUUCUUUUGCAUGUUAAUCCUUAGCAUUAUUUUGCUAAGAACACUCUUAGCGUGCCAAAAAAAAAUCUCCUGAACCCCAAUUACAAACCAUUCUGCAGCCAAAAUUUCUCAUGUAAAUAUCACGUUAGGUAGGUAGCAGGUUCUGGAAGUACAGUAUCUGUAACCAACUUUUCAGUUUUCUGAGCCUUAUGACUGCUGCGUAUUCAAAGCAUUGUUCAUUUAUUGUAUUUGUUAUCUAGUUAGAUUGUAUAAUGUUUAUCCAGCCAGUUUGCUUUCAGCCUUACC